GCUGGGCAUGGUGGCGCAUGCCUGUAAUUCCAGCUACUCGGGAGGCUGAGGUGGAAGGAUUGCUUGAGCCUAGGAGUUUGAGACUACAGUGAGCUAUGAUCAUGCCACUACACUCCAGCCUGGGCAAUAGAGCAAGACCCUGUCUCAA
Molecule: non-coding RNA, 148 nt
Filed under: Nomascus leucogenys (northern white-cheeked gibbon)
Lineage: Eukaryota; Metazoa; Chordata; Mammalia; Primates; Hylobatidae
Source: Rfam by way of RNAcentral